This 31-nucleotide non-coding RNA is filed under the name Mus musculus (house mouse). Lineage: Eukaryota; Metazoa; Chordata; Mammalia; Rodentia; Muridae. The record is from RNAcentral.
GAUGACUUCUGUUCUUAAAACUUGUCAGGGC